CAGCAGCCGCGGGAAUACAGAGGGUGCGAGCGUUAAUCGGAUUUACUGGGCGUAAAGCGUGCGUAGGCGGCUUCUUAAGUCGGAUGUGAAAUCCCUGAGCUUAACUUAGGAAUUGCAUUCGAUACUGGUUAGCUAGAGUGUGGGAGAGGAUGGUAGAAUUCCAGGUGUAGCGGUGAAAUGCGUAGAGAUCUGGAGGAAUACCGAUGGCGAAGGCAGCCAUCUGGCCUAACACUGACGCUGAGGUACGAAAGCAUGGGGAGCAAACAGGAUUAGAUACCCCAGUAGUCCCUGUCUCUUAUAA
RNAcentral lists this ribosomal RNA (301 nucleotides) under uncultured bacterium. RNAcentral describes it as "partial 16S ribosomal RNA". It matches the Rfam family "Bacterial small subunit ribosomal RNA", at positions 509 to 809 of the family's 1533-position model. The record is from RNAcentral.